GUGAUAACUAUAUUUUACAUAAUGCAGCAUUAUUGUUUUUCUCUCCAUCGUGUGUGCAUCGAAUUUGUGUUUUACUAGAUACGUUGCAUAUGAAGACCGAAAAAUUAAUAAAAGAAAAGUCUUAUCUUAGAUCUGGCGCAAUGACAUUGCCACCAUACAUUCCUUACAAUGGUUUUGUACCAGGACAAACUAUACAAAUUACAAUUGAAUUGGAUAAUAUCAGUGAUGUUGAUGUUGAUUACAUUAGGAUAAGAGCGGAAAGAAUAUGGAAAAUUAAAGCUAAUACGUCUUCUAAGUCUAAAAAAUCAAAUAUUGUUAAAAAAGUAAUGGUGUUAAAUCGUGUUGAAAAACACACUUCAAUAACAUUAAUGGUACAAAUUCAAAUACCAAAAAGACAGAUUAUACUUAAUUUGAAAUAUUGUGGAAUUUUAAUCGAUCCAUUUACUCUACAUGUUGAGACUUGUUCAAAGUAGUGAACAUACAUGAAAAAGUUUCUAGUUACAUCAUUUUAGGUAAUACUCCAUUAAUAACAGCUAAUGAUACUCAUAAAAAUAAUAUUUUUUUUAUUCAGUUAUCAAAUCAAUAUAAAUCAAAAAUAUCCUAUUCCAUUUGUAGGUUUAGUUGAUUUUGGAUCCCAGAUAAUAUGUUUAACAAGUAAUUUAAAGUAACCAACAAUAUUUUGUGCCAUAUAAAUACGUUUUUUAAUAAUCUAAAAAUAAGUUUUAGAACGAAGAAGUUUAUUACUCAUUGAAUGAUCUACAUAUAAAGAUCCGAGUGGUCCCCGUUUCCACCAAAUGAGAUAUUGAUCACAUUUCCAUCAGGAUAAUUUUUAUACUAUUAAAAGCUGUAAUGCAGCAGCCUAAUUUAAAAUACUAGGCAAAUAUACACUAUUGAAAAACGAUAUAUUAUAAUAGAUUAUAAAUAUACAUAUAUAUAUUUAUAAAUACAUAUUAAAUAUAUCAUUAUAUUAUAAAUAAUUUUUGAAUAAUUAAAUUAUAAAAAAAAUUAAGUAAUAAUAAUAAAUCGUACGUUGACCAAAUACAACAUAUUAUAGAAAAUAAAUUGUUUUUAUAAAGUAAAUACCUAAUAGUAUAAAGCAUUUACAACAUUACUACUUUACUAUAAAAAACCAUUCUCCAAUUAUUACGACCCAUUGAUAACUUAGAUCAUUUAGAGUUUAUUACGCUACAAAAAAAAAUCUAAACAAUUACUUAAAAAUCAAUUUCUUCAAUUGGUUCCAAUGAGAAUUGGAUUGGAUCAAAGAUGACAAAGUGGCCACGUCAUCGGCAUCCAUUUUACGUAAAGAGCACAACGUGAUAUUUGCUUCAAGUUGUAUUAGUUUGCGGAGUUUUAUAUAUUUUUUUUUUUUUGUAAAAGUAUUACAAUAUUUAAGGUAAUGUAAAAAAAUAAAUUAUAAUACUGUGUUUUAUAAUUGUGUAAAAGUAGUAUUUAGUACCUACUAUACUUAAUCUAAUCCUAGAGGUUUUAAUCCAGAUUUGGAAGUAAUUGGAAUUCAACCAUUCAAUGGAAACGGUUCGUCGUAGACCUAAAAUUAGGCGCUGGUUGCUGAAGUCAAUAUAUGUAAUCAAUAAGGCUUUCAUUAUUCUUGAACGCAUCGUCAAUAAGACUAUUUGAAAUAUCGGCCAACCAUGGAGAAAAUUUAGUAUCAAUACCAAUCUACAUCGCUAUUAGAUUCUGAACGAAUACGCUGGUUUAAAAAAAAAACUAUUUUUCUCUCAUGAUAUUGCCGAACUACAUAUUAUUACAUUUUGAGUGUGUCACGCCUAAUACCCGAUUACGAGAUGGUACGUGUACACGUGGAUUUUUAAUAUUAAUCGUAAGUGACAUUAAUUAAUAUUUACACAGUUAGUUACAUAUAACACUAUAACAAAAUAUUGAAUUUCUGUUUCUAAAUUUGUGUGUUUCUCGUAUAUUAUUU
Long non-coding RNA from Aphis gossypii (cotton aphid), 1939 nucleotides. RefSeq lists it as uncharacterized. NCBI's taxonomy places the organism in Eukaryota, Metazoa, Arthropoda, Insecta, Hemiptera, Aphididae. The transcript has 5 exons. The record is from RefSeq and is a predicted model, not a curated record.